AAGGGUAUAGUUCAGUGGUAAAGUGCGUGCCUAGCAUGCAUGAGGUCCUCGGUUCAAUCCCCAGUACCUCUA
RNAcentral lists this transfer RNA (72 nucleotides) under Camelus bactrianus (Bactrian camel). It matches the Rfam family "tRNA". From Rfam's summary of the family: Transfer RNA (tRNA) molecules are approximately 80 nucleotides in length. Lineage: Eukaryota; Metazoa; Chordata; Mammalia; Artiodactyla; Camelidae. The record is from Rfam by way of RNAcentral. RNAcentral also lists the same sequence under 2 other names.